AUGUGGCAAGUUCAACUGUAAUCCUCGCCGAUAUCAGUUAUCUACAAUCUAUUCUUAGCCUGAAAUGGGUGAAAAGGAGGGUGGUGAGAUUAUAAAAUCCUAGUGAGUAAACAAACAUCACUCAAAAUAUCUAAAGUCGAGUAAAAGAAGACUAUUAAAACAUUUCAUCAAACUGUAAUUUAUCAUCUUUCAACUUAUUUCAACCAAAUGAAAUCAAUUUAUUUAAAGCAAGUAAUCAGUAUGGCUUAUGAAUUUCUUAAAAAGCUUGGCUCAUGCCAAAAAUUAUUAUCAUACUCAGUUAUCUAGGAUACCUUGGCUGAGGGCUAUCGCAAUUGAGUCCGCCAAGGCUAUUAGAAAGUUGUGUUUUUAUUUUGAAAACAUAGCCGUUCCUUGGCGUUGGCCGAGUUCCCUUUCACGUUGUGGUUUGGCGUGAAGUGAACUUUAAAGUUAUACCUCAGGAGUUACCCUACUCGCCUCUCUAACAGAGGUAAAAAUAUAACAGGAUUCCGUGCCCCUCUAAUAGGCUAGUCCACAGAACCCAACCCACUGCAGUAGGUCAAACCCACUAUACAAUAAAAUUUUGACAGCAUGACAGGGCUAAUAUAUUACUACCCAGCCUGCAAGGGUAAAAUAAAGCAAUUCAUAAAAUUCAUAAAAAACACAGCCCAGCCAGUCAUGCCAAUACAAUAACAUAAGCCAUUAAUUCAAUUUUAAAUUUACAACAUAUCAGUGGUCUCCAAUUACUCUAUUUUCAAAAUCGUUAUUUCGUUUCAAGACAAGUUAUAAAAUAUUUUCAUUUAAACUCAUUUUGUUUACAAAACAUAAAAAUUUACCAUUUGAACUCAUUUUCAUAAAAUUCAUCAAAACCGAAUAAAAACAUACUUUAGAUAACUAAAAUGAUGGUAAGGUUACUCACCGUGUCUAGAGUGGGGAUUUUCGAAAUACUCAGACUACUGAUCUUCGAGUGCAAUUCCCUUGCCUUUAUUAGAGGACUCACCACCUUGACACAGUACAAAAUCGAGAAAUUCACCACAUUGGUACUAAAUUGAAAUUAAACUAAUUUAGACUACUAAUGCUUGAUAUGGAAUGCAAAAAUGUCUAAAUUUUUGCCUAAACGCAGUGUUAGCCUAUUUCGGUCUUUUACCCAAUAAAUUGAUAUACGCGUCCGUUUAAACUUUAAAUUAAUUUUUUUCAUUUUCUAUACCUCAGUUGCACCCAAAUUGACUUAAUGUCCCUCAGUGGGGUGCAAAUUAUUAGUCCCGCUAACAAAUUACAAAAAUACCCCUAUUGGGUAAAAAUUUAUAUUUUUACUCCGAAAAUUCUCAUUAUUUUUCUAGGCUCAAAAUUCAUCAUUAUUCAUCAUAAUUCCUCAAAUAAACAUCAAGAUCAGCAGCCAAUAUUCCCCUAAAAAAUUCGGCAUAAUGGGUUUCAAUGGGAGAAAAUUAUAUCUCUAGCUUAUUUUUGCUAUAUUUCAAUAUAACUUAACUAAAAUCACUUAAUUCAAUUAUAAUCAACCAAAAAUCAAGCUCAGAACUAAUCCAUGGAGGUUUGGCCAGCAUGGGUGCCCAUACCCACUUUCUAAUUUUGCAUGGAAAUGAGAAAAAAAUGCAUGGGUAGUGAAAAUCACAAGGAAAAUCAAUGAAAUUUACCUUUUUAAUGCUUGAUUUCUUGAUUUCUCUUGAUUUUCCCCAAAUUUUUCAGGUAGGAUUCUUGUUUUU
Molecule: long non-coding RNA, 1718 nt
Filed under: Theobroma cacao (cacao)
Lineage: Eukaryota; Viridiplantae; Streptophyta; Magnoliopsida; Malvales; Malvaceae
Description: long non-coding RNA (TCAC_LNC004527)
Source: RNAcentral